Molecule: ribosomal RNA, 764 nt
Filed under: Blautia sp. AF25-12LB
Lineage: Bacteria; Bacillati; Bacillota; Clostridia; Lachnospirales; Lachnospiraceae
Description: bacterial LSU rRNA
Rfam family: Bacterial large subunit ribosomal RNA
Source: RNAcentral
GAAUCGGUAACGCCAGUUGCCGAGGAGCCAUUGUUGGGAUACCACCCUUGCAGUACUGGGUUUCUAACCAGCAGCCGUGACCCGGCUGGGGGACAAUGUCAGGUGGGGAGUUUGACUGGGGCGGUCGCCUCCGAAAGGGUAUCGGAGGCGCUCAAAGGUUCCCUCAGAAUGGUUGGAAACCAUUCGAAGAGUGCAAAGGCAGAAGGGAGCUUGACUGCGACACCGACGGGUGGAGCAGGUACGAAAGUAGGACUUAGUGAUCCGGUGGUAUUAAGUGGGAAUGCCAUCGCUCAACGGAUAAAAGCUACCCUGGGGAUAACAGGCUUAUCACUCCCAAGAGUUCACAUCGACGGAGUGGUUUGGCACCUCGAUGUCGGCUCAUCGCAUCCUGGGGCUGUAGUAGGUCCCAAGGGUUGGGCUGUUCGCCCAUUAAAGCGGUACGCGAGCUGGGUUCAGAACGUCGUGAGACAGUUCGGUCCCUAUCCGGCGUGGGCGUAGGAUAUCUGAGAGGAGCUGUCCUUAGUACGAGAGGACCGGGAUGGACGGACCGCUGGUGUACCUGUUGCAGUGCCAGCUGCAUGGCAGGGUAGCCAAGUCCGGAAGGGAUAAACGCUGAGGCAUCUAAGCGUGAAGCCCCCCUCAAGAUGAGAUAUCCCAUUCGAAAGAAGUAAGACCCCUUGAAGACGACGAGGUAGAUAGGGCAGAGGUGGAAGUGCAGUAAUGUAUGGAGCUGACUGUUACUAAUCGGUCGAGGGUUUGACCUG